This 426-nucleotide ribosomal RNA is filed under the name uncultured bacterium. Its description in RNAcentral is "partial 16S ribosomal RNA". It matches the Rfam family "Bacterial small subunit ribosomal RNA", at positions 354 to 796 of the family's 1533-position model. The record is from RNAcentral.
GUGAGGAAUUUUCCGCAAUGGGCGAAAGCCUGACGGAGCAAUGCCGCGUGAAGUAUGAAGGCCUAUGGGUUGUAAACUUCUUUUCUCAGAAAAGAAUUAUGACGGUAUCUGAGGAAUAAGCAUCGGCUAACUCUGUGCCAGCAGCCGCGGUAAGACAGAGGAUGCAAGCGUUAUCCGGAAUGAUUGGGCGUAAAGCGUCUGUAGGUUGUUUAAAAAGUAUUCUGUCAAAGAUUAGGGCUUAACCCUAGAUAGGCAGAAUAAACUUUUAAUCUAGCGUUUGGUAGAGGCAGAGCGAAUUCCCGGUGGAGCGGUGAAAUGCGUAGGUAGCGGGAGGAACACCAAAGGCGAAGGCACUCUGCUGGGCCAAUACUAACCCUGAGAGACGAAAGCGAGGGGAGCAAAUGGGAUUAGAAACCCGAGUAGUCC